This 484-nucleotide ribosomal RNA is filed under the name uncultured bacterium. RNAcentral's name for it is "partial 16S ribosomal RNA". It matches the Rfam family "Bacterial small subunit ribosomal RNA", at positions 29 to 507 of the family's 1533-position model. The record is from RNAcentral.
AUUGAACGCUGGCGGCAUGCUUUACACAUGCAAGUCGAACGGCAGCGCGGGCUUCGGCCUGGCGGCGAGUGGCGAACGGGUGAGUAAUACAUCGGAACGUGCCCAGUAGUGGGGGAUAGCUCGGCGAAAGCCGGAUUAAUACCGCAUACGACCUGAGGGUGAAAGCGGGGGAUCUUCGGACCUCGCGCUAUUGGAGCGGCCGAUGGCAGAUUAGCUAGUUGGGGGGGUAAAGGCCUACCAAGGCGACGAUCCGUAGCUGGUCUGAGAGGACGGCCAGCCACACUGGGACUGAGACACGGCCCAGACUCCUACGGGAGGCAGCAGUGGGGAAUUUUGGACAAUGGGCGAAAGCCUGGUCCAGCAAUGCCGCGUGUGUGAUGAAGGCCUUCGGGUUGUAAAGCACUUUUGGCGGGAACGAAAAGGACUGUGCCAAUACCACGGUUCGAUGACGGUACCCGCAGAAUAAGCACCGGCUAACUACGUG